This 497-nucleotide ribosomal RNA is filed under the name uncultured bacterium. RNAcentral's name for it is "partial 16S ribosomal RNA". It matches the Rfam family "Bacterial small subunit ribosomal RNA", at positions 28 to 507 of the family's 1533-position model. The record is from RNAcentral.
GAUGAACGCUGGCGGCGUGCCUAAUACAUGCCAGUCGAGCGAACGGACGAGAAGCUUGCUUCUCUGAUGUUAGCGGCGGACGGGUGAGUAACACGUGGAUGACCUACCUAUAAGACUGGGAUAACUUCGGGAAACCGUAGCUAAUACCGGAUAAUAUUUUGAACCGCAUGGUUCAAAAGUGAAAGACGGUCUUGCUGUCACUUAUAGAUGGAUCCGCGCUGCAUUAGCUAGUUGGUAAGGUAACGGCUUACCAAGGCAACGAUGCAUAGCCGACCUGAGAGGGGGAUCGGCCACACUGGAACUGAGACACGGUCCAGACUCCUACGGGAGGCAGCAGUAGGGAAUCUUGCGCAAUGGGCGAAAGCCUGACGGAGCAACGCCGCGUGAGUGAUGAAGGUCUUCGGAUCGUAAAACUCUGUUAUUAGGGAAGAACAUAUGUGUAAGUAACUGUGCACAUCUUGACGGUACCUAAUCAGAAAGCCACGGCUAACUACGUG